UGGGGAAUAUUGCACAAUGGGGGAAACCCUGAUGCAGCGACGCCGCGUGAGUGAAGAAGUAUUUCGGUAUGUAAAGCUCUAUCAGCAGGGAAGAGAAUGACGGUACCUGACUAAGAAGCCCCGGCUAACUACGUGCCAGCAGCCGCGGUAAUACGUAGGGGGCAAGCGUUAUCCGGAUUUACUGGGUGUAAAGGGAGCGUAGACGGCAUAGCAAGUCUGAAGUGAAAUACCCGGGCUCAACCUGGGAACUGCUUUGGAAACUGUUAAGCUGGAGUGCUGGAGAGGCAAGCGGAAUUCCUAGUGUAGCGGUGAAAUGCGUAGAUAUUAGGAGGAACACCAGUGGCGAAGGCGGCUUGCUGGACAGUAACUGACGUUGAGGCUCGAAAGCGUGGGGAGCAAACA
Molecule: ribosomal RNA, 402 nt
Filed under: uncultured bacterium
Lineage: Bacteria
Description: bacterial SSU rRNA
Rfam family: Bacterial small subunit ribosomal RNA
Source: RNAcentral